GACGAACGCUGGCGGCGUGCCUAAUACAUGCAAGUCGAGCGGAGCGGCGGACGGGUGAGUAAUGCCUAGGAAUCUGACUGGUAGUGGGGGAUAACGUCCGGAAACGGGCACGAAUACCGCAUCCUAUCGGAUGAGCCUAGGUCGGUUUAGGUCGUUGGGGGGGUAAAGGCCUACCAGGGCGACGAUCCGUAACGGGUCUGAGAGGCUGAUCAGUCACACUGGAACUGAGACACGGUCCAGACUCCUACGCGAGGCAGGAGUGGGGAAUAUGGGACAAUGGGCGAAAGCCUGAUCCAGCCAUGCCGCGUGUGUGAAGAAGGUCUUCGGGUUGUAAAGGACUUUUGUCAGGGAAGCGGUACCUGAAGAAUAAGCACCGGCUAACUACGUGACAGCAGCCGCGGUAAUUC
This 407-nucleotide ribosomal RNA is filed under the name uncultured bacterium. Its description in RNAcentral is "partial 16S ribosomal RNA". It matches the Rfam family "Bacterial small subunit ribosomal RNA", at positions 28 to 526 of the family's 1533-position model. The record is from RNAcentral.